RNAcentral lists this ribosomal RNA (253 nucleotides) under uncultured bacterium. Its description in RNAcentral is "partial 16S ribosomal RNA". It matches the Rfam family "Bacterial small subunit ribosomal RNA", at positions 524 to 776 of the family's 1533-position model. The record is from RNAcentral.
UACGGGGGGGGCAAGCGUUGUUCGGAAUUACUGGGCGUAAAGGGCUCGUAGGCGGCCAACUAAGUCAGACGUGAAAUCCCUCGGCUUAACCGAGGAACUGCGUCCGAUACUGAAAGGCUUGAAUCCGGGAGAGGGAUGUGGAAUUCCAGGUGUAGCGGUGAAAUGCGUAGAUAUCUGGAGGAACACCGGUGGCGAAGGCGGCAUCCUGGACCGGUAUUGACGCUGAGGCGCGAAAGCUAGGGGAGCAAACGGG